RNAcentral lists this ribosomal RNA (465 nucleotides) under uncultured bacterium. RNAcentral's name for it is "bacterial SSU rRNA". It matches the Rfam family "Bacterial small subunit ribosomal RNA", at positions 198 to 644 of the family's 1533-position model. The record is from RNAcentral.
GGAGGAAAGUAGGGGAUCGCAAGACCUUGCGCUGAUUGAGCGGCCGAUAUCAGAUUAGCUAGUUGGUGAGGUAAGAGCUCACCAAGGCGACGAUCUGUAGCGGGUCUGAGAGGAUGAUCCGCCACACUGGAACUGAGACACGGUCCAGACUCCUACGGGAGGCAGCAGUGGGGAAUUUUGGACAAUGGGGGCAACCCUGAUCCAGCCAUGCCGCGUGAGUGAAGAAGGCCUUCGGGUUGUAAAGCUCUUUCAGCCGGGAAGAAAAUGCAUGGGUUAAUACCCUGUGCAGAUGACGGUACCGGAAUAAGAAGCACCGGCUAACUACGUGCCAGCAGCCGCGGUAAUACGUAGGGUGCGAGCGUUAAUCGGAAUUACUGGGCGUAAAGCGUGCGCAGGCGGUUUUGUAAGACAGGCGUGAAAUCCCCGGGCUUAACCUGGGAACUGCGUUUGAAACUACAAGGCUAG